CGAUCCACCUUCAACCUCAAAAGAGUUCGAGGUGAUUAGAGAAAAAGAUCCAAUCAGAUCAACUAUCGAAAGUAGUUUUCGCGAGCUAGCACUCUCGGAGACAUCAUAUCGGAAUCAGGGCUUCGUGUGGAUGUUUCAUAGAGGUCGGACAUGUUGUGCAGCUGUGAACAACCAGUGAAGACCUCCAGAUCCACAUUCACAAUCAUGAUAUUCGACUAUCCGUAC
Molecule: long non-coding RNA, 225 nt
Filed under: Elaeis guineensis (African oil palm)
Lineage: Eukaryota; Viridiplantae; Streptophyta; Magnoliopsida; Arecales; Arecaceae
Description: long non-coding RNA (EGUI_LNC015187)
Source: RNAcentral